This 468-nucleotide ribosomal RNA is filed under the name uncultured bacterium. RNAcentral's name for it is "partial 16S ribosomal RNA". It matches the Rfam family "Bacterial small subunit ribosomal RNA", at positions 28 to 507 of the family's 1533-position model. The record is from RNAcentral.
GACGAACGCUGGCGGCGUGCUUAACACAUGCAAGUCGAACGGAAAGGCCCUGCUUUUGUGGGGUGCUCGAGUGGCGAACGGGUGAGUAACACGUGAGUAACCUGCCCUUGACUUUGGGAUAACUUCAGGAAACUGGGGCUAAUACCGGAUAGGAGCUCCUGCUGCAUGGUGGGGGUUGGAAAGUUUCGGCGGUUGGGGAUGGACUCGCGGCUUAUCAGCUUGUUGGUGGGGUAGUGGCUUACCAAGGCUUUGACGGGUAGCCGGCCUGAGAGGGUGACCGGCAACAGUGGGACUGAGAUACGGCCCAGACGCCUACGGGAGGCAGCAGUGGGGAAUAUUGCACAAUGGGCGGAAGCCUGAUGCAGCAACGCCGCGUGCGGGAUGACGGCCUUCGGGUUGUAAACCGCUUUCGCCUGUGACGAAGCGUGAGUGACGGUAAUGGGUAAAGAAGCACCGGCUAACUACGUG